ACAAGUCUAGAAACAAAUAAGUCAUACUUCAGAUUUUAUACCUAUAAAAAUGAAUUCAACCUAGAAAAUAAUCCUAAGUAUGUUCACAAAUACAGAUAUAUCACGACCAAAUUAUGACAAAGUUCUCUACUAGAUACCAAUUGUUAAAGAAGUAUAGUUUAAGAAAAAUAACAUAAUUAAGUCAUGCUUCAUGUCAUCUCUAAUCAUUU
Molecule: long non-coding RNA, 209 nt
Filed under: Daucus carota (carrot)
Lineage: Eukaryota; Viridiplantae; Streptophyta; Magnoliopsida; Apiales; Apiaceae
Description: long non-coding RNA (DCAR_LNC001020)
Source: RNAcentral